RNAcentral lists this transfer RNA (81 nucleotides) under Enterococcus faecium. RNAcentral's name for it is "tRNA-Tyr". It matches the Rfam family "tRNA". Rfam says of the family: Transfer RNA (tRNA) molecules are approximately 80 nucleotides in length. Their secondary structure includes four short double-helical elements and three loops (D, anti-codon, and T loops). Further hydrogen bonds mediate the characteristic L-shaped molecular structure. tRNAs have two regions of fundamental functional importance: the anti-codon, which is responsible for specific mRNA codon recognition, and the 3' end, to which the tRNAs corresponding amino acid is attached (by aminoacyl-tRNA synthetases). tRNAs cope with the degeneracy of the genetic code in two manners: having more than one tRNA (with a specific anti-codon) for a particular amino acid; and 'wobble' base-pairing, i.e. permitting non-standard base-pairing at the 3rd anti-codon position. Lineage: Bacteria; Bacillati; Bacillota; Bacilli; Lactobacillales; Enterococcaceae. The record is from RNAcentral.
GGAGGAGUAGCGAAGUGGCUAAACGCGACGGACUGUAAAUCCGUUCUUUAGGGUUCAGUGGUUCGAAUCCACUCUCCUCCA